RNAcentral lists this long non-coding RNA (587 nucleotides) under Panax ginseng (ginseng). RNAcentral describes it as "long non-coding RNA (PGIN_LNC007810)". The record is from RNAcentral. Lineage: Eukaryota; Viridiplantae; Streptophyta; Magnoliopsida; Apiales; Araliaceae.
AUAAACAUUUCAAAAAUACAUUGUGCCAUUACAGAAACAUUUCAGCAAUCAAGGCUCAUUUCAUUCAGUACACGUGUUUGGAGAAUUUGCAAGGGCCACAACUUUUUCUGCAUUCAAGUAAAAAAUGGCAAUAAGAAUAAUUACCAGCCUUAUCGAGAAUAAUUAAUUAAUUAUUGUCCAGUGUAGGGGAUAGAAUUUGGAAGCUCCAUCAAAUGAAUCAUCUCAGAACCCACCUAUAGCCACGCACCCCAUAUAAUUUGUACAGAAAACGAGGAUUACCAAGAAGGUUCUAGUAAAAAUCAAGCGACCUCUCAUAGAUUACCAAGAAUAUAUAGAUGUUGGGAGGGAGAUCUGAAGAGUCGCUGAGUCGCUGCCUCGCUUGUGGUCGAUCUCCACCAUGCGUUGCCGUCGUGCAAGAAAGAUGAGUUGGAUUUGUCGAGGAGUCGACCAGGAAGAUGAGCGACGACGAGAGAGCUGUCGAAGCGAGAGAUCGAAAGCACUCAAAGCAGAGCUGCAGAGGGGAGCUGAAAGUGAGAUAUUGAGAUCUCAGAUUAUCUCAGAUCUGAGAAUGAGUCACACUUAAUUUG